UACGAAGGGGCUAGCGUUGCUCGGAAUCACUGGGCGUAAAGGGUGCGUAGGCGGGUCUUUAAGUCAGGGGUGAAAUCCUGGAGCUCAACUCCAGUAACUGCCUUUGAUACUGAGGAUCUUGAGUUCGGGAGAGGUGAGUGGUAACUGCGAGUGGUAGAGGUGAAAUUCGUAGAUAUUCGCAAGAACACCAGUGGCGAAGGCGGACUCACUGGCCCGAUACUGACGCUGAGGCACGAAAGCGUGG
RNAcentral lists this ribosomal RNA (244 nucleotides) under uncultured bacterium. RNAcentral describes it as "partial 16S ribosomal RNA". It matches the Rfam family "Bacterial small subunit ribosomal RNA", at positions 524 to 764 of the family's 1533-position model. The record is from RNAcentral.